This 424-nucleotide transfer-messenger RNA is filed under the name Patescibacteria group. RNAcentral describes it as "JAHIVE01 sp018816805 Standard tmRNA". It matches the Rfam family "transfer-messenger RNA". From Rfam's summary of the family: Bacterial tmRNA, also known as 10Sa RNA or SsrA, is named for its dual tRNA and mRNA-like properties. RNAcentral also lists the same sequence under 1 other name. The record is from RNAcentral.
GGGGAUGAAUGAAGGUUUCGACAGAAAGAUUCGAAUUCAAUUGUUUGCUUUCAGGUGGUUGUCCAGUCCCACCUCAAUCCGUCCUGGACAAAUUUAAGUGCUAAACCACUUGCUAAGUUACGUGAUGCUCUUCGCAUGGAAGAAGCUUCGGCUUUCGCUCCUGUAUUUGCAUAAACGGGCUUGAUGUCCUGCCAUUUUGCGGGACCCGCUCACCGGUCUAGAUUUCGUAAGCCGAUUGAGUGUCAUUUACGAGAUGUAGGUGAUUUGCUGCUGGCAGGCUGGCAAUGAUCCCAAAUUUUGGUCUGCUCGCGGCGACUGUUUUUGUCGCUUCUUUAUGGGCGUCGCGCAACUAGAAGUGACUAUGAAAGUAGAGAGCGAUUCAAUUCCUUUUUGGACGCGGGUUCGACUCCCGCCAUCUCCACCA